RNAcentral lists this ribosomal RNA (253 nucleotides) under uncultured bacterium. Its description in RNAcentral is "partial 16S ribosomal RNA". It matches the Rfam family "Bacterial small subunit ribosomal RNA", at positions 524 to 776 of the family's 1533-position model. The record is from RNAcentral.
UACGGAGGGGGCUAGCGUUGUUCGGAAUUACUGGGCGUAAAGCGCACGUAGGCGGCUUUGUAAGGUAGAGGUGAAAGCCCGGAGCUCAACUUCGGAAUUGCCUUUAAGACUGCAUCGCUUGAAUCAUGGAGAGGUCAGUGGAAUUCCGAGUGUAGAGGUGAAAUUCGUAGAUAUUCGGAAGAACACCAGUGGCGAAGGCGACUGACUGGACAUGUAUUGACGCUGAGGUGCGAAAGCGUGGGGAGCAAACAGG